Cephus cinctus (wheat stem sawfly) is the source of this 1479-nucleotide long non-coding RNA. RefSeq lists it as uncharacterized. The transcript is spliced from 2 exons. The record is from RefSeq and is a predicted model, not a curated record. Lineage: Eukaryota; Metazoa; Arthropoda; Insecta; Hymenoptera; Cephidae.
AAAAAAAACCUAUUAUACCUACCAUUUACAAAAUAAAUUUCAACUGAGAUUCAAUGUCUAGAAGAACCAUGUAUUCUUGUGAACCGUAACCUUUAACUCAGCCUAUAUAACGUCUCAAUAAUUCUUGUAACUGCGGCAUCCACUAAAAAUCGUCAUAGAAAAAGUAAUUAUGCGUAACUAUUAUAUGGUGAUGCUAGCAAAGAAACCUGCCAGGUAAAGAUCACUGCUGAGUUUGAAGGUUAUUCCCGUGUUCAUUUGUCUGAGAAACCAGCAAGUAUUUUUUUUAUCUUUGUGCCACCCGAUGCACCAAAGACCGGCAGGGAUUUGUCAUCUUUUUUUUUUAUGCACCCGUUGCAUGGCACCAUAGCAGGUGACACGUAUUUCAAGAUAUUCUUUUACGUAUGAUGAAUAUAUACACUCAAAGAGUAUUAAACAGGAAUUCGCUUGUACUUGUUUUCAAAUAUGCUUAACUGUCCAUUUUUUUCUAUUCACUCGUAAAAUCAACAACGAUGCUAACCGAUGAUAGCCGAUCGUGUCUGGCGAAACAAAUUGAUGUCAGACUGGACGCACGAGACGCUUGUAAAUGAUAUAUAUAUAUAGAGAGAGAGAGCUACAGUGCGUUUAAAUAUUACGUAUACAUUGACUUACAAAGCAUUCGUCGCGGCUUUUUCAUCGAUACCAGAGACGCUGCACGUAUUUUUAACAGAGACACGUUUAUAUUCCCGAUAAGAAAACGCCUUCCGUGAAGUCCGUGCUAAUAAUGUGAUAAAUCGUGUUUUUCAGAUUGAAUAAAACAAAAGAAUGUCGGAUAUACUCGUACAUGUACGUGGAUGAAAAUACUAAGGAGCCUAUGAAUUGAGACGUAGAUGUAAAAUAGGUUAAGAAAACAUGAGAGGGCCGCUGAGAUUUCGUCAGGUUGUAAACAAACGUUCUCGGCCAUUUACGGAGACGAAGAUAUGACGCACCGAGCAGGGCGUGCACGCAGAUCGCUUCUCUGUGAGCGAACCUUGGCCCCAAGAGGUUCGCAGCAAGCAACGACUUCGUAACGUUUAAGCCACGAAAACAAAAAGGUCUUGAGUUCGCGAUAAGCACGAUGACAGGCGAGCUCUUACCUUUAUCACUGGAUGCGACGAUGAAUCCAAGCGCGCAUCAUUUGGCCAGUUGACAGCUGCUACCAGACUUCGCCACCCAUCUACGGGUUAGAGUUCAUAACCUCUUCUAACCUUUACUUUACCUUUCCAUUGCCCCCUACCCCCCUGGCUGACCGCCCAGCCCCACCGUUCCCACCGUUCACCUUCUUGCCCACUCGACAUUGCAUCUACGAGCAUGAAGUAACCUAAUGUAUAUAGAUUAACCACGUCGAGCGAGUCGUUCGAUUUCGACUGUGGCGCCAACUUGAAUGGACGAUCGAGGAACUAAACUGUUUAAACUGUACUUGAUUUCACAUAGAAAUAUAAAAAGCAUACAAGAAUGAAAAAA